AUGAAUAAGGAAGAUAGUGUUAAAUGGAUGCAAAGGCGUGUUGAGGAGUAUCGUUCAGGAAAGAACGAUAUGCAUGAAGCUAUUGAGGAUUUCGAUGACAUGGAGAAGCUUGGACAAGGAUUCUCAUCGGCUGACCCACUUGAGGAAGUUGAUAUUGGUGAUGGAAGUGUCCCCGGACCUACAUUUAUUAAUGCUAAUAUGGGGGCCGAUCAGAGAGGAAAGGUAUGUGCAUUACUUAGGGAAUUUGUUGAUUGCUUUGCUUGGAAUUAUACUGAGAUGCCCGGUUUGAGUAGGGACUUGGUUGAACAUAGAUUGCCUAUUAAAUCUGGUUUUAGGCCGCAUAAACAGCCCCUUAGGCGAUUCAAUCCUAGUAUAUAUGACCGCAUCAAAGAUGAAAUUGACCGGUUGUUAAAAGCUCAGUUUAUUCGGCCGUGUAGAUAUGUGGAAUGGAUUUCUAAUAUUGUUCCUGUUGAAAAGAAAAAUACUGAUAAGAUUAGAGCAUGUAUUGAUUUUAGGGAUUUGAAUAAGGCUACCCCUAAAGGUAAAUAUCCUAUGCCUAUAGCCGACAUGUUGAUUAACGAUGCUUCUGGACAUAAAGUAAUCAGUUUUUUAGAUGAUAAUGCUGGUUAUAAUCAGAUAUUUAUGGCAGAAGAAGAUAUGUUUAAGACUGCUUUUCGAUGCCCUGGUUUUGUUGGUUUAUUUGAGUGGACUGUUAUGACUUUUGGAUUGAAGAAUGCCGGAGCUACAUACCAGCGUGCUAUGAAUCUGAUUUUUCAUGAUCUUCUAGGCAUCGUAUUAGAAAUAUAUAUUGAUGAUGUAGUUGUUAAAUUGGAUGGGUUUGAUCACCAUUCAGCCGAUUUGUGA
This 864-nucleotide ribosomal RNA is filed under the name Triticum aestivum (bread wheat). Its description in RNAcentral is "partial small subunit ribosomal RNA". Lineage: Eukaryota; Viridiplantae; Streptophyta; Magnoliopsida; Poales; Poaceae. The record is from RNAcentral.